RNAcentral lists this non-coding RNA (70 nucleotides) under Compsopogon caeruleus. Lineage: Eukaryota; Rhodophyta; Compsopogonophyceae; Compsopogonales; Compsopogonaceae. The record is from RNAcentral.
UCUAUUUUUUUUUUUUUUCUCUCUUUCUUUUUCUUCCUUGUUUCCCAGUCUCUAAACAUGAUGAAUACAA